GGUAUCGUGUCCGAGUGGUUAAGGAGAUAGACUUGAAAUCUAUUGGGCUAUGCCCUCGCAGGUUCAAAUCCUGCCGAUACCG
This 82-nucleotide transfer RNA is filed under the name Fidelibacterota bacterium. Its description in RNAcentral is "tRNA-Ser". It matches the Rfam family "tRNA". From Rfam's summary of the family: Transfer RNA (tRNA) molecules are approximately 80 nucleotides in length. Their secondary structure includes four short double-helical elements and three loops (D, anti-codon, and T loops). Further hydrogen bonds mediate the characteristic L-shaped molecular structure. tRNAs have two regions of fundamental functional importance: the anti-codon, which is responsible for specific mRNA codon recognition, and the 3' end, to which the tRNAs corresponding amino acid is attached (by aminoacyl-tRNA synthetases). tRNAs cope with the degeneracy of the genetic code in two manners: having more than one tRNA (with a specific anti-codon) for a particular amino acid; and 'wobble' base-pairing, i.e. permitting non-standard base-pairing at the 3rd anti-codon position. The record is from RNAcentral. Lineage: Bacteria; Pseudomonadati; Fidelibacterota.